GUAGGUGGCGAGCGUUAUCCGGAAUUAUUGGGCGUAAAGAGGGAGCAGGCGGCACAAAGGGUCUGUGGUGAAAGAUCGAAGCUUAACUUCGGUAAGCCAUGGAAACCGUAGAGCUAGAGUGUGUGAGAGGAUCGUGGAAUUCCAUGUGUAGCGGUGAAAUGCGUAGGUAUAUGGAGGAACACCAGUGGCGUAGGCGACGAUCUGGCGCAUAACUGACGCUCAGUCCCGAAAGCGUGGGGAGCAAAUAGGAUUAGAUACCCUAGUAGUCCACGCCGUAAACGAUGAGUACUAAGUGUUGGGGGUCAAACCUCAGUGCUGCAGUUAACGCAAUAAGUACUCCGCCUGAGUAGUACGUUCGCAAGAAUG
This 366-nucleotide ribosomal RNA is filed under the name uncultured bacterium. Its description in RNAcentral is "bacterial SSU rRNA". It matches the Rfam family "Bacterial small subunit ribosomal RNA", at positions 527 to 896 of the family's 1533-position model. The record is from RNAcentral.